Molecule: ribosomal RNA, 560 nt
Filed under: uncultured Alphaproteobacteria bacterium
Lineage: Bacteria; Pseudomonadati; Pseudomonadota; Alphaproteobacteria
Description: bacterial SSU rRNA
Rfam family: Bacterial small subunit ribosomal RNA
Source: RNAcentral
CCUACGGGAGGCAGCAGUGGGGAAUCUUAGACAAUGGGCGCAAGCCUGAUCUAGCCAUGCCGCGUGUGUGAUGAAGGCCUUAGGGUCGUAAAGCACUUUCGCCAGAGAUGAUAAUGACAGUAUCUGGUAAAGAAACCCCGGCUAACUCCGUGCCAGCAGCCGCGGUAAUACGGAGGGGGUUAGCGUUGUUCGGAAUUACUGGGCGUAAAGCGUACGUAGGCGGAUCAGAAAGUAAGGGGUGAAAUCCCAGGGCUCAACCCUGGAACUGCCUCUUAAACUCCUGGUCUUGAGUUCGAGAGAGGUGAGUGGAAUUCCAAGUGUAGAGGUGAAAUUCGUAGAUAUUCGGAGGAACACCAGUGGCGAAGGCGGCUCACUGGCUCGAUACUGACGCUGAGGUACGAAAGUGUGGGGAGCAAACAGGAUUAGAUACCCUGGUAGUCCACACCGUAAACGAUGAAUGCCAGUCGUCGGGCAGUAUACUGUUCGGUGACACACCUAACGGAUUAAGCAUUCCGCCUGGGGAGUACGGUCGCAAGAUUAAAACUCAAAKGAAUUGACGG